Molecule: long non-coding RNA, 118 nt
Organism: Sebastes umbrosus (honeycomb rockfish)
Lineage: Eukaryota; Metazoa; Chordata; Actinopteri; Perciformes; Sebastidae
Exons: 3
Source: RefSeq, a predicted model, not a curated record
CAUAAAGCAGGGUAUGCCUUAGGGUGUGGCUACCUUGUGAUUGACAGGUCGCUACCACGGCGUUGUCCGGUCUAGGUGUUGUCUGUAUUUUCGUCUUCAAGACUUUAACCAUUUCACA